This 460-nucleotide ribosomal RNA is filed under the name uncultured bacterium. Its description in RNAcentral is "partial 16S ribosomal RNA". It matches the Rfam family "Bacterial small subunit ribosomal RNA", at positions 338 to 795 of the family's 1533-position model. The record is from RNAcentral.
CCUACGGGAGGCAGCAGUGAGGAAUAUUGGUCAAUGGACGAGAGUCUGAACCAGCCAAGUAGCGUGAAGGAUGACUGCCCUAUGGGUUGUAAACUUCUUUUAUAAAGGAAUAAAACGAGGCACGUGUGCCUUUUUGCAUGUCCUUUAUGAAUAAGAAUCGGCUAACUCCGUGCCAGCAGCCGCGGUAAUACGGUGGAUCCGAGCGUUAUCCGGAUUGAUUGGGUUUAAAGGGAGCGUAGAUGGGUUGUUAAGUCAGUUGUGAAAGUUUGCGGGUCAACCGUAAAAUUGCAAUUGAUACUGGCAGUCUUGAGUACAGUUGAGGUAGGCGGAAUUCGUGGUGUAGCGGUGAAAUGCUUAGAUAUCACGAAGAACCCCGAUUGCGAAGGCAGCUUACUAAACUGUGACUGACAUUGAUGCUCGAAAGUGUGGGUAUCAAACAGGAUUAGAUACCCGAGUAGUC